Long non-coding RNA from Phalaenopsis equestris, 701 nucleotides. RefSeq lists it as uncharacterized. NCBI's taxonomy places the organism in Eukaryota, Viridiplantae, Streptophyta, Magnoliopsida, Asparagales, Orchidaceae. The record is from RefSeq and is a predicted model, not a curated record. The transcript has 3 exons.
UGAAGCAACGCAAGUUACUGUGUCCUCAGGGUUCAUCCGAGGAAGGAGCUGCUGAGCAGCAUGAGCUCUCAGGCCUGGCAGGAGCCAUUAAUCAUCUCUUUACUUAUUGAUUACGGUUCGGUCAGGUUGCAUUCAUGAUUUAUUCAAUGCGGCCUUCUAAUGAUUCCCAUCUGUUGAUUCCUCCAUCGCUGCCAUGGCAAGAAUAUUUUUUUUCGACAAAUGAUGAUAAUUUAUAAAUCAAGUUUAUUAAUUUUAUACUGACAAAAUUUAAUGAGUAUAAAAGCUUGACAGCUAUGACAUUUCUCAAUAAAAAAAAUGAGAUCUUUUGCUUAUUUUUUGGAAGAUUCCAUUGUUUUUGAGGAUUUGUUGAAAGUUGGUAGUAUGAUGAGCUGCCUGCUUCCUUGGUGAAAUGCUCCCAAUCUGUGACUUUGCUCUGUUCUUAUUUUUCUUAGUGCAGGGAUUAGGGUUUCAGAGAUUAUUUCUGUUCAGUGUUUGUUUCAGCAGAGAUAAUCAAAGGUGAACCAUGGAGAAAAUAAAGAUUUCUGGCUCUGUGAAGGAAGAAUGUAACACAAAAGUUCUGGAAUGCAGCUGUGAUUCUAAUUGUUCUCCUCGUGUUCCAGAUAGCUAUUUAUGGAGGAGCUUUUCGGAAGGGCCGGAUGAUUUGUUAAAUGAGACGCCACGGCUGUCUUACUAUAAUCCUG